RNAcentral lists this ribosomal RNA (508 nucleotides) under Ctenochauliodes yangi. RNAcentral describes it as "partial 16S ribosomal RNA". It matches the Rfam family "Bacterial large subunit ribosomal RNA", at positions 1819 to 2594 of the family's 2925-position model. Lineage: Eukaryota; Metazoa; Arthropoda; Insecta; Megaloptera; Corydalidae. The record is from RNAcentral.
GUCUUUUUGAUAAUAAUUUAAAGUCUGACCUGCCCACUGAAUAAUUUGAAGGGCCGCGGUAUUUUGACUGUGCAAAGGUAGCAUAAUCAUUAGUCUUUUAAUUGAAGGCUUGUAUGAAUGGUUGGAUGAGGUAUUAACUGUCUCGAUUUAAUAAAAUAAAGAAUUUUAUUUUUAAGUUAAAAAGCUUAAAUUUAAUUGGAGGACGAGAAGACCCUAUAGAUCUUUAUAAUUAUUUUAAUAAUAAUUUUAUUGAAUAAAUUUAUUGUUAUUAAUUUUAUUAUUUUAUUGGGGUGAUAAAAAAAUUUAAUAAACUUUUUUUAAAAAUAUACAAUUAUAUUUGAAUAAUGGAUCCAUUUUUAGUGAUUAUAAGAUUAAGUUACCUUAGGGAUAACAGCGUAAUUUUUUUGGAGAGUUCAUAUCUAUAAAAAAGAUUGCGACCUCGAUGUUGAAUUAAAGGUUAAUUUUAGGUGUAGAAGUUUAAAAUUUUGGUCUGUUCGACCAUUAAAUC